RNAcentral lists this ribosomal RNA (201 nucleotides) under Hypoponera sp. 02.FGSGt. RNAcentral describes it as "partial large subunit ribosomal RNA". The record is from RNAcentral. Lineage: Eukaryota; Metazoa; Arthropoda; Insecta; Hymenoptera; Formicidae.
GAAUUUUAUAUAUUAAAAUGAAUGUUAAUAUUUACGUUAAUAUAUCUUAUUGGGAGGAUAUUUAAAUUGAGAAAACUUUAAUUAUAGUAUUACAUAAAUUAGUGAUUUUAAAAUGAAUGAAUAUAAUUUUAUUAAGAAUUAAUUACCUUAGGGAUAACAGCAUGAUAUUUUUUUGUAGUUCUUAUAUAAAGAAAUGAUUAU